Molecule: ribosomal RNA, 810 nt
Filed under: uncultured bacterium
Lineage: Bacteria
Description: bacterial SSU rRNA
Rfam family: Bacterial small subunit ribosomal RNA
Source: RNAcentral
AGUCGAACGGCAGCACGGGAGCAAUCCUGGUGGCGAGUGGCGAACGGGUGAGUAAAGUAUCGGAACGUGCCCAGUCGUGGGGGAUAACGCAGCGAAAGUUGUGCUAAUACCGCAUACGAUCUAUGGAUGAAAGCGGGGGAUCGCAAGACCUCGCGCGAUUGGAGCGGCCGAUAUCAGAUUAGCUAGUUGGUGGGGUAAAGGCUCACCAAGGCGACGAUCUGUAGCUGGUCUGAGAGGACGACCAGCCACACUGGGACUGAGACACGGCCCAGACUCCUACGGGAGGCAGCAGUGGGGAAUUUUGGACAAUGGGCGCAAGCCUGAUCCAGCAAUGCCGCGUGCAGGAUGAAGGCCUUCGGGUUGUAAACUGCUUUUGUACGGAGCGAAAAGGCUCUCUCUAAUACAGGGGGCUCAUGACGGUACCGUAAGAAUAAGCACCGGCUAACUACGUGCCAGCAGCCGCGGUAAUACGUAGGGUGCGAGCGUUAAUCGGAAUUACUGGGCGUAAAGCGUGCGCAGGCGGUUUUGUAAGACAGAGGUGAAAUCCCCGGGCUCAACCUGGGAACUGCCUUUGUGACUGCAAGGCUAGAGUACGGCAGAGGGGGAUGGAAUUCCGCGUGUAGCAGUGAAAUGCGUAGAUAUGCGGAGGAACACCGAUGGCGAAGGCAAUCCCCUGGGCCUGUACUGACGCUCAUGCACGAAAGCGUGGAUAGCAAACAGGAUUAGAUACCCUGGUAGUCCACGCCCUAAACGAUGUCAACUAGGUGUUGGGUGGGUAAAACCAUUUAGUACCGGAGCUAACGCGUGAAG